RNAcentral lists this ribosomal RNA (503 nucleotides) under uncultured bacterium. RNAcentral describes it as "partial 16S ribosomal RNA". It matches the Rfam family "Bacterial small subunit ribosomal RNA", at positions 30 to 523 of the family's 1533-position model. The record is from RNAcentral.
AUUGAACGCUGGCGGCAGGCUUAAUACAUGCAAGUCGAGCGGUGUGAUGGUGCUUGCACUAUCACUUAGAGGCGGACGGGUGAGUAAUGCUUAGGAACAUGCCUAUUAGAGGGGGACAACAUCUCGAAAGGAAUGCUAAUACCUCAUACGUCCUACGGGAGAAAGCAGGGGAUUGCUUGUGAACUUCCGCGAAUAGAUGAGUCUAAGUCGGAUUAGCUAGUUGGUGGGGUAAAGGCCUACCAAGGCGACGAUUUGUAGCGGGUCUGAGAGGAUGAUCCGCCACACUGGAACUGAGACACGGCCCAGAAUCCUACGGGAGGCAGCAGUGGGAAAUAUUGGACAAUGGGGGAAACCCUGAUCCAGCCAUGGCGCGUGUGUGAAGAAGGCCUUAUGGUUGUAAAGCACUUUAAGCGAGGAGGAGGCUCUUUUGGUUAAUACCCAAGAUGAGUUGACGUUACUCGCAGAAUAAGCACCGGCUAACUCUGUGCCAGCAGCCGCCGUAA